GAUGAACGCUGGCGGCGUGCCUAAUACAUGCAAGUCGAGCGAACAGAUGAGGAGCUUGCUCCUCUGACGUUAGCGGCGGACGGAUGAGUAACACGUGGAUAGCCUACCUAUAAGACUGGGAUAACUUCGGGAAACCGGAGCUAAUACCGGAUAAUAUAUUGAACCGCAUGGUUCAAUAGUGAAAGACGGUUUUGCUGUCACUUAUAGAUGGAUCCGCGCCGCAUUAGCUAGUUGGUAAGGUAACGGCUUACCAAGGCAACGAUGCGUAGCCGACCUGAGAGGGUGAUCGGCCACACUGGAACUGAGACACGGUCCAGACUCCUACGGGAGGCAGCAGUAGGGAAUCUUCCGCAAUGGGCGAAAGCCUGACGGAGCAACGCCGCGUGAGUGAUGAAGGUCUUCGGAUCGUAAAACUCUGUUAUUAGGGAAGAACAAAUGUGUAAGUAACUAUGCACGUCUUGACGGUACCUAAUCAGAAAGCCACGGCUAACUACGUG
This 497-nucleotide ribosomal RNA is filed under the name uncultured bacterium. RNAcentral's name for it is "partial 16S ribosomal RNA". It matches the Rfam family "Bacterial small subunit ribosomal RNA", at positions 28 to 507 of the family's 1533-position model. The record is from RNAcentral.